CCCAAAUCCCCCACUUAUCCUUCCACCAGCCUAGGGGCUUCCAGCAAUUGUUAUGCAGCUGUAUAGCAAGAAGCCCCUGAAUAUCUAUGGUCUAAAAUAAAUAGAUUGUCCAACCUUUUCCUGAGUGCCCCCUGCAAUCCACUAUAGAGCACCUGGUGAGAUAUGGUUAUUUCGAUACCGCAGGGGUUCCAAAAAAUAAACUAUUCUAGCGUUUCAACGUUUGGAUUUGAAGCUAUCUGUGACCCUCCUCAGUCUUUCCACCAAGACAGGAAUGUCCUCCUCACUCAAUGUUGUGAAGCAACACCUGAACCAUCCAGGCUCAAUGCAAUGGCAAGAAGAACCUGGGGUAACGUUGACCUUUGCUUCCUCCAACAGCCUAUCCCAGAGCUUGCGCUCUCCUUUCUCGCUGUAAGAUCGGAUGUACCUGCUCAUGUCUGCCCAGCAAUAGAACCCGCCGCUGCUCUUGAAGCAUUCUAUCCCAAGUUGUUUCAAAGCAUCAGAAAACAGAAGGUACAUUUUCCGGAGCCUCUCUCUGUUAACC
Molecule: unclassified non-coding RNA, 541 nt
Filed under: Zea mays
Lineage: Eukaryota; Viridiplantae; Streptophyta; Magnoliopsida; Poales; Poaceae
Description: misc RNA Zm00001eb378310
Source: RNAcentral